ACGGGAACAGCACGACCGCAAAUCCGACUCGUCGGCCGAUUGGUUGACUUGGGAUUGCGGUAGUGC
RNAcentral lists this non-coding RNA (66 nucleotides) under unclassified sequences. Its description in RNAcentral is "S15-Halobacteria ribosomal protein leader". It matches the Rfam family "S15-Halobacteria ribosomal protein leader". The record is from RNAcentral.